CAUGAACCUGAUUGGACCAUCCCGUCCUUUGUGUCAACCCAGCUCUUCUGAUUCCUGGACGUUACAGGCUGAGUCCCCAAACUGGUGCUGAGUGCACGAUCUCCUUGCAGUGUCAACCUCCUCCGGAAAGGUAGUCCCAACCUCUCAGGAAUUUUUCCAUCAGCACUAGUAAGUGUGCCGCAUGGGCCCUCUCCCUCCCUCUCAAAAAGGUAAGAUAAUCUGCACUAUAAAAGCACUUGCUUUUCUCCCCAAGGGAAAGAUUGCGUAGAAUGAUCCCUUUCUUUUACUGUUAACUUUCUUGCCCCACUGUCCUUUUAUAAAAACACUCCACUUUGUAUAAUUCGUCAAUGUUGCCCUCUACAUGUUAGAUGGGUUGCUGCUCUACUCAUGAAUUAUUUAAUAAAGCCAAUUAGAUCUUUACAUUUACUCCACUGAAUUUUUCCUUUUAAUAAUACUAAAUCAAUCUAUCAAUCUAUCUGGCCUACUGGUCCUGUUUCUCUGGAGAACCCUGACUAAUAUCUUGAGCCAUAUGGU
Molecule: long non-coding RNA, 534 nt
Filed under: Mustela putorius furo (domestic ferret)
Lineage: Eukaryota; Metazoa; Chordata; Mammalia; Carnivora; Mustelidae
Description: lncRNA (ENSMPUG00000024023.1)
Source: RNAcentral